CAGCAGUGGGGAAUAUUGCUACAAUGGGGAAACCCUGAUGCAGCCAUGCCGCGUGUGUGAAGAAGGCCUUCGGGUUGUAAAGCACUUUCAGUAGGGAGGAAGGUAGUGUAGUUAACACCUGCACUAUUUGACGUUACCUACAGAAGAAGCACCGGCUAACUCCGUGCCAGCAGCCGCGGUAAUACGGAGGGUGCGAGCGUUAAUCGGAAUUACUGGGCGUAAAGCGCAUGCAGGCGGCCUGUUAAGUCAGAUGUGAAAGCCCGGGGCUUAACCUCGGAAUUGCAUUUGAAACUGGCAGGCUAGAGUCUUGUAGAGGGGGUAGAAUUUCAGGUGUAGCGGUGAAAUGCGUAGAGAUCUGAAGGAAUACCAGUGGCGAAGGCGGCCCCCUGGACAAAGACUGACGCUCAGAUGCGAAAGCGUGGGGAGCAAACAGGUUUAGAUACCCUGGUAG
RNAcentral lists this ribosomal RNA (451 nucleotides) under uncultured bacterium. RNAcentral's name for it is "bacterial SSU rRNA". It matches the Rfam family "Bacterial small subunit ribosomal RNA", at positions 349 to 793 of the family's 1533-position model. The record is from RNAcentral.